UGGUUCACUCAGCUGUGGUUGAGAUCCUAUUUUCCAUCGCUUGGUGCUCCAUCCAUUUCUUGUCCUUCUGCUAGCUGUUACGGGCUAGUUAUGGAGCCUUUAACUCCUGUAAGUAUGUCCAAAAGGGACAUUUUUUCAUUCUUUUAUUCUUUAAAUUCGAUCUCUUCCUUCUUUCCUUUCCCUCCUUUUUUGACUCCGGACUACGUGCAUCCUCCUUCCACUCUAGAUAGCGCGAGCACCUCUCUGCUC
Molecule: long non-coding RNA, 249 nt
Filed under: Olea europaea (common olive)
Lineage: Eukaryota; Viridiplantae; Streptophyta; Magnoliopsida; Lamiales; Oleaceae
Description: long non-coding RNA (OEUR_LNC011367)
Source: RNAcentral